CACACAUGUCGAUAGCAAGAGAAGGGGCCUGGCGAGGGAGUCUGCAACAUUUAAGGAUUUCUGCAACAUUAUUAAUGGAGGGCUCGGUGGCCGAGUGGUUAGAGCAUCGGACUUGGAAUUGUCGACAAUCUGAGUUCGAGCGUUCGAAUCCCGACUGGUGAGUUGUUUCCUUGGGCAAGGAACUUUACCUCGAUUGCCUGAUGGUAUAUCAAUUGUAUAAUGUGCGUGAACGAUUCUCGAUGUGUAUGAGUGUGUAUAUAUAUGUGUAUGCAAGUAUAUGUGACAAUAUAACUAACUCUCUGUUCAUACAUACAUGUCUGUAAUAUGUCCCUAACACGCCUACUCGAAAUAAGCUGGAACAUAAGACGAUGAUAAGAGAAAAAGACGAAUAAUAUGACAUCCAAUGCGAAAGAAACAAUAGAAAAUACGAAUAAAUAAGACAAAGAAAAGAGAAAAAGUCGAAAAAUAGUACAAGCGAUGCGAAAUAAUCAGUAAAAUAUACGAAAAAAUAAGACAAAGAAAAGAGAAAAAGAUGGAAAAUAUGACAAACGAAGCGAAAGAAACAGUAGAAAAAUGAGAAGACGAAAGAAAAGAAAAAAUCGACUUUU
RNAcentral lists this long non-coding RNA (608 nucleotides) under Penaeus japonicus. Its description in RNAcentral is "uncharacterized LOC122259398". Lineage: Eukaryota; Metazoa; Arthropoda; Malacostraca; Decapoda; Penaeidae. The record is from RNAcentral.